UCCCAGAUGACUGAGUAUAAGUGUUAGACUUUUAAUCUAAGCACGGCAUCAAUCUAAAUAAAUUGCCUCUGGGAG
Molecule: transfer RNA, 75 nt
Filed under: Aporrhais serresiana
Lineage: Eukaryota; Metazoa; Mollusca; Gastropoda; Littorinimorpha; Aporrhaidae
Description: tRNA-Lys
Source: RNAcentral